Molecule: ribosomal RNA, 375 nt
Filed under: uncultured organism
Description: partial 16S ribosomal RNA
Rfam family: Bacterial small subunit ribosomal RNA
Source: RNAcentral
GUAGGUGGCAAGCGUUGUCCGGAAUUAUUGGGCGUAAAGCGCGCGCAGGCGGUUCUUUAAGUCUGAUGUGAAAGCCCACGGCUCAACCGUGGAGGGUCAUUGGAAACUGGAGAACUUGAGUACAGAAGAGGAAAGCGGAAUUCCACGUGUAGCGGUGAAAUGCGUAGAGAUGUGGAGGAACACCAGUGGCGAAGGCGGCUUUCUGGUCUGUAACUGACGCUGAGGCGCGAAAGCGUGGGGAGCAAACAGGGAUUAGAUACCCUGGUAGUCCACGCCGUAAACGAUGAGUGCUAAGUGUUAGGGGGGUUUCCGCCCCCCUUAGUGCUGCAGCUAACGCAUUAAGCACUCCGCCCUGGGAGUACGGCCGCAAGGCUG